UGACCUCCUGGUUCAUAAGUUGAUGCUCAGCCACUGAGCCACACCCACUGGGCUGUAAGUGGGUUUUUCAGGUCGCAGUCAAGGACAGAGGUCUCCUUGUGGCUCUGAGAAGCUGGUGCACCUUCCCUUGGCCAGGAGGACGACUUCAAGGACAAGCACGGGUGUCAGCCAGUCUCCCCGUCUGCUCAGACCCAGGGCUCCGCACAGGAAAGAGACCGAUGGCCGCUUGUCACCUUCCAAGGCAAUAACUCCUGAUGUCUUCUGCUCCGGAGGAGAGGCAGGCGGGUGAUUGAGAAGACAGCCUUUAUCUCCACUCCACGUGCUCUGCAAGGAGUGGAUUCCACGCAGUUGGGCCUCCUCUGAGAUUUCCUGCUGGUUCUGGAAUGACCUUGGGCGUCGAGGCCAACCUUCAGUGCUUUGCCCACAGGGCGGAGGGGGGCUCGGACCCCGGCCCUGCACACACUGAGCAAUACAGUGUCUGACGUGCAGAUGCCACCAAAAGGGGUGAGUAAGCAAGGCUCCCAGCACCAGGCCUGUGCACAAGCGCACAGCCGACGGAUCUGCUUGGAGGUGGGAACACGCCUGCUCCUGCCCCAGGUCCAUAGGCCUCGGUCCACCUGCCCCACCACCUUCUCUCCAGACCCCGGCUGUGCUGGGUCCUCGUAGGUGUAGGAAGGCAGGGGGUCCAGGCUUGGCGCCAGACCUCAGCCGCCUUCUGGGCCCCCCCCCCCACGUCAGAAAGGCACCCCUUGGCUUCCCUCCACACCCAGCUCCGUCUGCAGUCCCCACCAGCGCCCACCCAACGAGAGUGUGCAGAGCACCCGUCACUGACGCUGGCCACAAGCUGGGAGAGAAAUGGACAGGGUGCCGCCCUGGUCCGCAGAGAUGGAGGGGGGCGCCGUGCCUUUCAGCCCCCACCAUCCCUGACUCUCCCUCCUGUCUUGAGACAGUCCCCC
Myotis davidii is the source of this 956-nucleotide long non-coding RNA. RefSeq lists it as uncharacterized. NCBI's taxonomy places the organism in Eukaryota, Metazoa, Chordata, Mammalia, Chiroptera, Vespertilionidae. The record is from RefSeq and is a predicted model, not a curated record. The transcript has 3 exons.